UUUAUUGUUAUGAAGGAAAGAGUUAUAUAUGCUUUUUUAUAGAGAAUCUUUGGUUGGUGGAAAAAGAUAUUAAAUAUAUAAUAGAUGGUUCCUGAACUUGUUAAUUGAUAUGUAGGUUAACACGUUGGCAGCGUUAAUGCAUUUGAGAGUAUAGAUUUUAUCUAUAAAUUAAGGUGGUACCGCGAUUAUUCGUCCUUAUG
This 200-nucleotide non-coding RNA is filed under the name Clostridium sp. RNAcentral's name for it is "T-box sequence". It matches the Rfam family "T-box leader". From Rfam's summary of the family: Uncharged tRNA acts as the effector for transcription antitermination of genes in the T-box leader family. T-boxes are found upstream of many aminoacyl-tRNA synthetase genes and some amino acid biosynthetic genes usually in Gram-positive bacteria. The anticodon of a specific tRNA base pairs to a specifier sequence within the T-box motif, and the NCCA acceptor tail of the tRNA base pairs to a conserved bulge in the T-box antiterminator hairpin. Lineage: Bacteria; Bacillati; Bacillota; Clostridia; Eubacteriales; Clostridiaceae. The record is from RNAcentral.